AGCAGUGUAGCACAGUGGUAAGGAGCAGGUCUCCUAAUCGUGAGAUUGCUAGUCCAAUUCUGGGGCACUGCUG
Megalops atlanticus (tarpon) is the source of this 73-nucleotide non-coding RNA. Lineage: Eukaryota; Metazoa; Chordata; Actinopteri; Elopiformes; Megalopidae. The record is from the annotation of a GenBank genome assembly.